Long non-coding RNA from Aedes aegypti (yellow fever mosquito), 3302 nucleotides. RefSeq lists it as uncharacterized. The transcript has 2 exons. The record is from RefSeq and is a predicted model, not a curated record. Lineage: Eukaryota; Metazoa; Arthropoda; Insecta; Diptera; Culicidae.
AGAGGAAAGAGGAAGGGAAUAUUGAUUAGAGUCUAUUUACAUGGCAUCAAACGGUAGCGGAAAAUACGACGAUGAAAUUUGCCUAUUCCAGUUUGUCCAUAUUUUUGACGUGGAGUUCAUAGUGGUUAUUGUCUUUUAGCUAAAAAAAUGCAUUACUUGAUAUUUAAUGAUUGAUUUCAUUUUCACUACAAACAUUAUGCAACGAUUCGCUUCCAGAAGCCUGCAAUGAUCGCCAUUUAGAACCAUAAACGAAAGCAUUAUCAAUAUCCUGAAAGUAUUCGUUUCCUAAAUCAUGGACAAAUUCAUAGAUUCACUUUCAGAAUCUUGAAAAAAAAAUCGAUUCUGACCCUGUAAAGAUUUCCUUUCAGAGUCCUUCAAAGAUUAGGUUCAACAAUCUAGAAAAGGUUUCUUGAGGAUUCCAGAAAGGAUUCACUUUUGAUGAAAUUCGCUUAUAGAAUCCUGAAAACAUUUGAUCCCAGAAUCAUGGAAGAAUUUUCUUCCUGAAACCUUCAAGUAUUCGCUUAUAGAGUACUGAAAGGGUUUACUUGCGAAUCACGGAAGAAUUCGCUUCCUGAAUCCUGUAAGGAUUCGCUUGUAGAGUCAUGUUUUUAUUCGUGUUCUGAAACCAUACUACCAACAUCCUGCAGCUUCUCUUCCAGAAUUCUGUAGAGAUUUGCUAUCAUGAUUUUGCAAAAUGUGAAUCUUCAAAAAGUUUACAAGCAAAAUCAUAGAAGAAAUCGAUUCUAGAGCCGUGGAAUGGUUGAUUUCCAAAAAUCUGCAAAGAUAUUCAUUUAGAAUCAUGAAAGAAUGCGUUUCUAGAAUCUUGAAAGCAUUUGCUUUCAGUAUUGGUUAACAGAAUCCUGAAACGAUUCGCCUCAAGAAUAAUGAAAAAAACGCUUUCAGAAAGCUAGGGAUUCGCUUACAGAAUCUUGAAAGGACUCGUUAAGUCUUGCUUCAGGAAUCCCGAAAAGAUUUGCUUUCAGAAUCAUGAAGAUAAUUGCAUGAAGAAUCUUCCAGAACCCUACAAAAAUUAGUUUACAGAGUACUGCAAUGAUUCGCCUCCAGAAUCAUGGAAUCCUGAAAAGAAUUGCUUCCAGAAUAGAAGCAUUCAGUAUCCAGCAAAUUUUUGCAACGUUUUGUGUCCAGAGCCAUGUAAUAAUUCAUAUGAUGAAUCCUUCAAAGAUUCGAUUCAAGAAUUAUGUAACGAUUCGUUUCUAAAAUCCUGUCAGAUUUCGACUUUAUUUCUUUUCAGAAAUUGAAUUUCCAGAAAACUGAAAGGAUUCAUUUCUAGUAUCUUGCAAGGAUUCACUUUUAGAGUAUUUCAUGGAUUGGUUUACAGAAUCUCAAACUGAUUCGCCUCCAGAACCAUAGAGGAACCUCCAGAGUACCCUUCCACAACUCGGGAAAAAUGCGUCUAGAAGAAAGGUUUGUCUCAAGAUUCCAGCAACGAUUAGGAUCCUGUAACCCAGCAAACCAGAGAUUAUAUAAGAAAGGUAAUAUAAAAUUGUACAAAGUUUAAGUUGGAAUUGGAUAUGAUGCAGAAUUUAAUUGAUUGAAAUUGUUUAUUAAGCCAGUAAUUUGAUCUGAUUAGAAUUUUAUUAGAAUCAGAAUCUUAUCAAAUUCAAAUUCCGUUUGACAAAAUAUGUAACAUCAUAUUGUCAUUCCCUUACGAUUCCUUCUUUACUUGAUUUGAUUUUAAUGUAAACUUCAAUGUGAUAUUAGAUAUGAGUUCAUCUCAUGUAAAUAUAAAAUCAUACUGGGGGAGAUUACACAUCGUCGGAUUCAUCUCAGAACCAGACACAGACCGGCACCUGUUCAUGAAUUAAUUGAUAUACUGGAUGUUGAAACAUGAAAAUCUUACAGAAACACAAUGAAAUAACUUUGUAUAAGCAUUUCUGUUCAGCUGCUUUAAUAAUUACUUCACUUCGAAAUUGAUGUAGGGUAAAUGAUCUAAUUUUCGACCCAGUGCUAAUUUUCGACCCAUUGAUAAAACAAACGUUAUUUUAACUACUAUUUGAAAUUUUCAAACAUUUAUAAAUCACUGGAAUAUGCCAUUGUUGUUAUAUCUAUCAUGAUCCAAUAAAAAUUGCAUCUAUAUAACGGAGUUUUAAUCCUAAAUCGAUAAAUCCUGAUUUUCUUGUGUCUGAAUCAGUCCUUUUUCUUCCAUUGAUGAAUAUUCGUCAAAUAUUGAAAAGGCUCAAAUCGGUAUAAAAACUGAUCAAAGAGAUGCCUAAUCGAUAAAGUUUGGUGAAACCUGAUAAAAUUUAAGCAAAUUGUAAUUAAUUUUGUGCAUCUAUCAGCGAAAAUAAAUUUUAUUACGCGUUUGAAAUUGUUCGAAAAUUGAAACACCAGGUUUCAAUUUUCGACCGGUCGAAAAAGCAUGCCAUGCUUUCAGCAGGUGAUGUGUUUUAGUUUUCGACCCUUCAUCAUAAGUAAACAUCGUUCAUAGUGGUGGUUGUUCUUUCGUGGAGUUGAAUUUCUUGCUUCAACGGUUUUUAACCAAAACGCGCCCAGAAAAGUACAGACAAGUCUACGCAGAAGCCGACAUCCAGCAAAUAGCAUCUAAGGUAGUCAACAAGAACUCGAUUAUGGAAUUACGAAAUUUCAUAUACAUGUUCAAUUCAAGAUUGGCGAAGAAAUAUCUAUCAGUCCGUUAUUCGUCCUGGACCGAUCACAAUGGAGGAGGAGACGGAAUUUGAAGAGUUGAUAUUCGGCAGUCAGCGACGGGGAUGGUUAGUGAAACGUAACUAAAUGUUGGAGCAUGUUGAAGGGUUUCUUGAUACUGCUGAAAGGCAAAACUAUUUUAAAGACAACCAUCCAGGUGAAUUGAUAGAGCAAGAUAAAUAAUAUCGCAAUAUUCUUAGAAAGGAGUUGAAGAGAGAAUCCGAAAUGAAGAAACAAGACCAUGCUGAAACAAAACGAUUCGAGUAAAAGUUGUAGUGAAAAAAAAGGAAACAAUGUACCGAAAUGACCCAUAAAAUAAAAGUCAAAGCCUAAAAAAGCAGUCAAAGUCGAGAGAUAAAAGAAGAAUUUGAGUUUUUACUUGAACUAUUAAAUAAUGAAAUGAAAUAAAUGUUUUAAACAAAAUGGUUUUACAUGUUUAAAUGACAAUAUCCCAUUGCUGUACUAUAUCCUAUCGCAACAGUAGAAUAUAAUGUAGUUUGAUCCACGUAAAACCGUUAAAAUGGUAGAAAAACCGAUCAGUGUUCAUGAAUGUCGCUUUUCCUUGGUCGUACAGGUUGUACAUAAGGAUCAAGAAUCCAUCAUUCAAUCAUCAGCAAUCAUCAAAAAUGAAAAAAAAA